RNAcentral lists this ribosomal RNA (362 nucleotides) under Escherichia coli. RNAcentral describes it as "bacterial SSU rRNA". It matches the Rfam family "Bacterial small subunit ribosomal RNA", at positions 30 to 388 of the family's 1533-position model. The record is from RNAcentral. Lineage: Bacteria; Pseudomonadati; Pseudomonadota; Gammaproteobacteria; Enterobacterales; Enterobacteriaceae.
UGAACGCUGGCGGCAGGCCUAACACAUGCAAGUCGAACGGUAACAGGAAGCAGCUUGCUGCUUCGCUGACGAGUGGCGGACGGGUGAGUAAUGUCUGGGAAACUGCCUGAUGGAGGGGGAUAACUGCUGGAAACGGUAGCUAAUACCGCAUAACGUCGAAAGACCAAAGAGGGGGACCUUCGGGCCUCUUGCCAUCGGAUGUGCCCAGAUGGGAUUAGCUUGUUGGUGGGGUAAUGGCUCACCAAGGCGACGAUCCCUAGCUGGUCUGAGAGGAUGACCAGCCACACUGGAACUGAGACACGGUCCAGACUCCUACGGGAGGCAGCAGUGGGGAAUAUUGCACAAUGGGCGCAAGCCUGAUG